This 828-nucleotide ribosomal RNA is filed under the name uncultured eukaryote. RNAcentral's name for it is "SSU rRNA". It matches the Rfam family "Eukaryotic small subunit ribosomal RNA", at positions 946 to 1797 of the family's 1831-position model. The record is from RNAcentral.
CGAAAGCAUCUGCCAAGGAGGUUUUCAUUGAUCAAGAGCGAAGGAAGGGGGAUCGAAAACGAUCGGAUACCGUUGUAGUCUCUUCGGUAAGCUAUGCCAAUUGGGGAUUAGCACAGGAUUUUCAAUGACUGUGUUAGCACCCGAAGAGAAAUCUUUAAAUGAGGUUCGGGGGGGAGUAUGGUCGCAAGGCUGAAACUUAAAGGAAUUGACGGAAGGGCACCACCAGGUGUGGAGCCUGCGGCUUAAUUUGACUCAACACGGGGAAACUCACCAGGUCCAGACACAAUAAGGAUUGACAGAUUGAUAGCUCUUUCUUGAUCUUGUGGUUGGUGGUGCAUGGCCGUUCUUAGUUGGUGGAGUGAUUUGUCUGGUUAAUUCCGAUAACGGAACGAGACCUUAACCUGCUAAAUAGACCAGUCGACUUUGGUUGACUGCUGUCUUCUUAGAGGGACUAUCAGCGUUUAGCUGAUGGAAGUUUGAGGCAAUAACAGGUCUGUGAUGCCCUUAGAUGUUCUGGGCCGCACGCGCGCUACACUGACAGAGCCAGCGAGUCUUUUUCCUUUGCCGGAAGGCAUGGGUAAUCUUGUGAAACUCUGUCGUGAUGGGGAUAGAACAUUGCAAUUAUUGUUCUUCAACGAGGAAUACCUAGUAAGCGUGAUUCAUCAGAUCGCGUUGAUUACGUCCCUGCCCUUUGUACACACCGCCCGUCGCUACUACCGAUGGAAUGGCUUAGUGAGGCCUCCGGAUUGGCUAUUGGAAUCCCGCGAGAGAGUCUAACUGCCGAGAAGGUGUACGAACUUGGUCAUUAGAGGAAGAAAAGUCGAACAA